Molecule: long non-coding RNA, 1370 nt
Organism: Oreochromis aureus
Lineage: Eukaryota; Metazoa; Chordata; Actinopteri; Cichliformes; Cichlidae
Exons: 3
Source: RefSeq, a predicted model, not a curated record
GAGAAGCCCACUGACGCUGUGACCUUCAUCAGUGCUGCAGUGGUUGUUCUAACUGUCACCAUCAUCACAGCUGUGGCAUUUGUAACUUACAAAAUGAAGAAAGCCAAAUGUUCUACAUCCUCUCCUGGUGAUAGCUCUGAGCAGUCUGAGAGACUAAAUCCACAAAGUUGACUGUCCUGCCAAGAGGUCUUCUCUUCACUGUCUGUGUGACUUUCCUCCAGCUACUGCAGUUUAUUCUAUAGUUCAAAGACAUAUGUUAAAAACACUAGUAAAUAAAACACAGGUAAUGAUCACAUUUUGCAGAUCACUGGGAACAGGCUGCUGCACUUACUGUAAAUUAGUGCACAGUGAUAUAUUUGUAUCUAGCUUAUGUGUGUACCUGUUUAAUACAUUUGUGAUUUUAUUCUGCUUCAGUAUGUAAUCCCUGUAUUGAUGCAGUGGUAUCACAAGUCUGUGACAAAGCAAAAGUAAAUUAUUCAAAUUAGUUGUGCAUCAAUGACAGUUUGUUAAACCUGAAGUUUGUGAUUUUACUGAGACACUGGCAGUGUACAAAGCAUCUGGUAUUUUCCAAAUGACACCAAAACAUCUGAAAAAUGACAGCAACAGACUCUCAUUUGGAAAUAAAAUGUUGUGAGUUUAUUAUUUUAUUCUUCUGUAUAAAUAACUAACCCCCUGCAUUUGAUUUGGGAGGUCACAUAACUUUUUUCUUUGACCACCUUUGGCAGCAAUAUUGUGUGCACAAACUACUCUAACAACAAACUCACCAUGUAUGUUGUACCGUUUUCAUGACUUCUGUACAUACUGAUGACCAUUUUAACAAAAAAAUUUAGUUUAGAUUCAUCACUCCAUCAGACCUGUUGCGACAGAUUUGUGAUCCAUUGCUUGUAUAAAUUGAGAGCAAACCUUCCACUGAGACAUUGAUGAGGCUUCAGUAAACAGUGGAUGGAUCAGCUAAAGGGCCAAAUGUGUCUCAGGUUCGGUGUCUAGUCUCUGUUGGACUUUUUUUUAAUCACAAAAAUAUUUGUGCUAAAUCCAUUUUAAAUAUCCAGUGUUAUUACAUAUUUAAAUAUUGUUUGCUUAUACACACAUAAGCAUUCUGACAUGAAGAUUACACUAUAUUUACUGGCUCACGUCACUGUGACGAAUGCAAGAAUCAAUGUACUUAUGUUAUUAUUGUUAUAAUAGCUUUGCAUGUUUUAGAUUGAAGCUAUUUUAUUUUGAGUCAUUUCUAACGAAUCAGCAGCUGGGAGCUCAUUCUGGAGGGAUAGAAUCUGAACCCUGAAUGUAUGAAUCACAAAAGGGGAAAACUAAAAUACAUUAAAGUUAGGUAAAUUGUAACAGGAUAAAAAGUGAAAUAAAUUGGAUUAGAA